Molecule: ribosomal RNA, 206 nt
Filed under: uncultured bacterium
Lineage: Bacteria
Description: partial 16S ribosomal RNA
Rfam family: Bacterial small subunit ribosomal RNA
Source: RNAcentral
CUACCGCAUACGAUCUAAUCUCGGCAUCGAGGAUAGAUGAAAGGUGGCCUCUACAUGUAAGCUAUCACUGAAGGAGGGGGAUUGCGUCUGAUUAGCUAGUUGGAGGGGUAACGGCCCACCAAGGCGAUGAUCAGUAGCCGGUCUGAGAGGAUGAACGGCCACAUUGGGACUGAGACACGGCCCAGACUCCUACGGGAGGCAGCAUG